RNAcentral lists this ribosomal RNA (74 nucleotides) under Halolactibacillus halophilus. Lineage: Bacteria; Bacillati; Bacillota; Bacilli; Caryophanales; Bacillaceae. The record is from RNAcentral.
GAACACAGCAGUUAAGCUCUUCAGCGCCGAUGGUAGUUGGGCUUAAGCCCCGCGAGAGUAGGACGUCGCUAAGC